RNAcentral lists this transfer RNA (63 nucleotides) under Pinctada maxima (silver-lipped pearl oyster). RNAcentral describes it as "tRNA-Phe". Lineage: Eukaryota; Metazoa; Mollusca; Bivalvia; Pterioida; Pteriidae. The record is from RNAcentral.
GCUGAAGUAAUUUAAAAUAGAAUGUUGUCUUGAAGCGGCGAAAGUGGUUUAUUCCCUUCAGUG